RNAcentral lists this ribosomal RNA (468 nucleotides) under uncultured bacterium. Its description in RNAcentral is "partial 16S ribosomal RNA". It matches the Rfam family "Bacterial small subunit ribosomal RNA", at positions 28 to 507 of the family's 1533-position model. The record is from RNAcentral.
GACGAACGCUGGCGGCGUGCUUAACACAUGCAAGUCGAACGGAAAGGCCCUGCUUUUGUGGGGUGCUCGAGUGGCGAACGGGGGAGUAACACGUGAGUAACCUGCCCUUGACUUUGGGAUAAAUUCAGGAAACUGGGGCUAAUACCGGAUAGGAGCUCCUGCUGCACGGUGGGGGUUGGAAAGUUUCGGCGGUUGGGGAUGGACUAGCGGCUUAUCAGCUUGUUGGUGGGGUAGUGGCUUACCAAGGCUUUGACGGGUAGCCGGCCUGAGAGGGUGACCGGCCACAUUGGGACUGAGAUACGGCCCAGUCUCCUACGGGAGGCAGCAGUGGGGAAUAUUGCACAAUGGGCGGAAGCCUGUUGCAGCAACGCCGCGUGCGGGAUGACGGCCUUCGGGUUGUAAACCGCUUUCGCCUGUGACGAAGCGUGAGUGACGGUAAUGGGUAAAGAAGCACCGGCUAACUACGUG